RNAcentral lists this ribosomal RNA (274 nucleotides) under uncultured bacterium. RNAcentral's name for it is "partial 16S ribosomal RNA". It matches the Rfam family "Bacterial small subunit ribosomal RNA", at positions 523 to 796 of the family's 1533-position model. The record is from RNAcentral.
AUACGGAGGGUGCAAGCGUUAUCCGGAAUCAUUGGGUUUAAAGGGUCCGCAGGCGGGAAAAUAAGUCAGUGGUGAAAGCCUACAGCUCAACUGUAGAACUGCCAUUGAUACUGUUUUUCUUGAGUAUAGAUGAAGUGGGCGGAAUAUAUCAUGUAGCGGUGAAAUGCAUAGAUAUGAUAUAGAACACCGAUUGCGAAGGCAGCUCACUAAACUAUUACUGACGCUCAGGGACGAAAGCGUGGGGAGCGAACAGGAUUAGAUACCCGAGUAGUCC